Molecule: long non-coding RNA, 2362 nt
Organism: Manis javanica (Malayan pangolin)
Lineage: Eukaryota; Metazoa; Chordata; Mammalia; Pholidota; Manidae
Source: RefSeq, a predicted model, not a curated record
UUUCAAGCCUUGACUGGGGGAGGAUUCACGUCCACGCUCACCCACGCGGCUUUCGGCAGAUGAUCCACAGCACAUCUCAGUUCCUGCUCCGUCGGCUGCCUGUGUGUCCUCAUGACAUGGCAGCUGGCUUCUCCUCGGGCUCUUGUCUGUGAGGUGUGUGUAUCCGGCAGAGUCGUAAGCGUAUGCUGAGGACACAGGCUUGCUGUGCUGGGCUAGGCGACCUCUGAGGCUCCUUCCAGUUGUUGCUUAAUCCUGCCUCCCGUCCCUACAUGGACAAGAGCCCGGCCCUUGGAGCCCGACAGACCUGGAUUCGAUUCUGGCUCUGCUAUUUCUAGCAGUGUUAGUAAGUCCAGUUGACAGAGUGCUGGAGAGGGAUUUCAGUGCGGCUCCAGUGUGCCUUCAAGGACGCCACAUCUGUCUCCGGGAGUUGAGGAGGCACCACCACCCUCGGUCUGGGCAGAGGAAGGGUGCGCAGAGCGUCCCCGGUGGGAGAGGCGGGGUCAUCAGAAACAGACCUGCAGACCCUGCCCCUUAUGUCUCUGUCGCCCCCUCGCUGGAAUCACUUGCUGAUGAGGUCUCAAAGCCCUCAUUUUUGAAGAAAACAGCUUAGCUCCAGAGAUAACAUUUCACAGACUCAUGCUCUCUCUAAACCAACGCUGCUGUCAUGCGGACCUAUUCUGAUGCCUCCCACACACGUGGAUUUUCCCGAGUCACCUUGGGUCUGCUCUUCCCUGGUCCUUACGGGGCUAUUGUGGGAGAGCUGGGCCAUCAGUGGCGUUGCCUUCUCGGCCACGACUUCAUCCGGGCAAAGCAGACCAGAGCAGACAGGGCUGAAGGCCUGCGCGGAGAUUCCCCAGAUCCUGGGGCCAGGCUUGGAUGUUAGCAGGUGAUUGUCGUACGGGGCGGGUGUUGGCAUUCGAUUCCGAUUACCAUCACCUUCAGUAUUAUUUGGAUAAAACCUCAAGUAACACCCAUGGAAGUAAAUGGCUGACUGAUGAAACAGUUUCAGGUGGUCCUUUCACCCAAAUCCCUGAACAAAAAAGCGGCGCCGGCUGCUCGCCUCGAGGUUCUGUCCUUUCUCCACUUCCUGUUCGGCCGCAGAGAAAGGCUCACUUGGGCCAAUAGAGCCAGCACAGUUUGGAAGGUUAAAAUUUAAUAUAUUUAGAGCUAGAAGAGCCAAUUCAGACAAUUUAAGCAAAACGUUAUUUUCUUUGAGUGCAGACUGUCUCUCCUGGAAGACUCAAAUCCUGUGUGUGGCUGGGCUAUUUCAUUUUGGCUGGCUGAGUUCAUUUGGCUGGUUCUGGCUUCACCUCUGCCCCGUGGUCCACCCCUUCCAGAGUGAAAAUAUUGACACAUGUGAUCUCAAUGGGAUGAUGAGGGCAGAGGGUGGAUGGGAUGACAGGGAGCAGGUUCUGCCACUCCGCCAACAUCCCGCUGUCGGGAGAACUGGGGAGCGUUUGGAUGUCUUCUAGGGGCACGCGGAGCAUCCUGGGCAGCUGGGAGGACCCACUUCCGUUCACCCUGUUGCUUCUGACCUCCUCUGAGGGCCGAGUGCUACGUGCCCCUCAGCACAGAGUGCCUGUGUGUGCUCAGCUCCUGGCUGACCGUAUGUCUGGCUCACAGGGGCUCCUCUUCUCAGUGAUGCCCCGAAAGCGAGCUGCGACUUCCCUGCACACCUCGCCCGCAGGACCCAGGAGGUAUGCCAGGAUCCCCUGGCCUCCUUCUGGCCCGUGAAUACCCAAGCACAGAGGAGAGGCAGCCUCGGGGGCCAGCAGACCGUACACUUACUGCGUCUGCUUUAGUCUGUUGUCUAGUCCCUCACUUGGUCUGGAAGUCAGGCUGGGAGAACAGAGGUGUCCGUCUCUGGGCUCUGUUACUAUGCCUGAUAGGAAAAGACCAGUAAGAUGUGAUCGCUCUGAAGAAUCUGACAGAGCCAGGCGGGGAGGUGGAGUGGGUGGAAAUAGAAGCAAAAAGGGACGUAGUGUGACGUGUGGGCAGUGGAGUGUGGGUUCAGGAGCUCCUGGCCCUGCUCAUUCAGCCUUGGCUGUACCCCAAGUCAUGCCACUUACUGGAUGAGUAACCCUGGGAAGUCACUGCACUUCAGUGCCUCAGUUUCCUCAUCUGUAAAAUGUGGAUCGUAGCGGUAAGCACCUCACAGUGUUGUGAGGUUUCAGUGAGACGAUGUGUGUGAACUGAUGAGCACAGUGGUGAGCACAAGGCGCCAGACUUUUUAGCCAUUGUUAUGAGUACGUGUGCCAUGGAAUCACUCUCCAUGAACACCAUAUUCUGCAAAGGGGUAAAAAGAAAUUCAUCCCUAUUGUGGCGUGAUGGUCGAUGAAACAACCGCAGACUGUACCUAAUA